GACGAACGCUGGCGGCGUGCUUAACACAUGCAAGUCGAGCGGUAAGGCCCUUUCGGGGGUACACGAGCGGCGAACGGGUGAGUAACACGUGGGUGACCUGCCCUUAGCUCUGGGAUAAGCCUGGGAAACUGGGUCUAAUACCGGAUAUGACUCCAUGACGCAUGUUGUGGGGUGGAAAGCCUUGUGCGGCUAGGGAUGGGCCCGCGGCCUAUCAGCUUGUUGGUGGGUGAUGGCCUACCAAGGCGACGACGGGUAGCCGGCCUGAGAGGGCGACCGGCCACACUGGGACUGAGACACGGCCCAGACUCCUACGGGAGGCAGCAGUGGGGAAUCUUGCGCAAUGGGCGAAAGCCUGACGCAGCGACGCCGCGUGAGGGAUGACGGCC
Molecule: ribosomal RNA, 386 nt
Filed under: uncultured bacterium
Lineage: Bacteria
Description: bacterial SSU rRNA
Rfam family: Bacterial small subunit ribosomal RNA
Source: RNAcentral